This 679-nucleotide ribosomal RNA is filed under the name Priestia megaterium. RNAcentral describes it as "bacterial SSU rRNA". It matches the Rfam family "Bacterial small subunit ribosomal RNA", at positions 53 to 714 of the family's 1533-position model. The record is from RNAcentral. Lineage: Bacteria; Bacillati; Bacillota; Bacilli; Caryophanales; Bacillaceae.
ACAUGCAGUCGAGCGAACUGAUUAGAAGCUUGCUUCUAUGACGUUAGCGGCGGACGGGUGAGUAACACGUGGGCAACCUGCCUGUAAGACUGGGAUAACUUCGGGAAACCGAAGCUAAUACCGGAUAGGAUCUUCUCCUUCAUGGGAGAUGAUUGAAAGAUGGUUUCGGCUAUCACUUACAGAUGGGCCCGCGGUGCAUUAGCUAGUUGGUGAGGUAACGGCUCACCAAGGCAACGAUGCAUAGCCGACCUGAGAGGGUGAUCGGCCACACUGGGACUGAGACACGGCCCAGACUCCUACGGGAGGCAGCAGUAGGGAAUCUUCCGCAAUGGACGAAAGUCUGACGGAGCAACGCCGCGUGAGUGAUGAAGGCUUUCGGGUCGUAAAACUCUGUUGUUAGGGAAGAACAAGUACAAGAGUAACUGCUUGUACCUUGACGGUACCUAACCAGAAAGCCACGGCUAACUACGUGCCAGCAGCCGCGGUAAUACGUAGGUGGCAAGCGUUAUCCGGAAUUAUUGGGCGUAAAGCGCGCGCAGGCGGUUUCUUAAGUCUGAUGUGAAAGCCCACGGCUCAACCGUGGAGGGUCAUUGGAAACUGGGGAACUUGAGUGCAGAAGAGAAAAGCGGAAUUCCACGUGUAGCGGUGAAAUGCGUAGAGAUGUGGAGGAACACCAGUG